This 389-nucleotide ribosomal RNA is filed under the name uncultured bacterium. RNAcentral describes it as "bacterial SSU rRNA". It matches the Rfam family "Bacterial small subunit ribosomal RNA", at positions 30 to 417 of the family's 1533-position model. The record is from RNAcentral.
AUUGAACGCUGGCGGCAUGCCUUACACAUGCAAGUCGAACGGCAGCACGGGAGCAAUCCUGGUGGCGAGUGGCGAACGGGUGAGUAAUAUAUCGGAACGUGCCCAGUCGUGGGGAUAACGUAGCGAAAGCGUACGCUAAUACCGCAUACGAUCUAUGGAUGAAAGCGGGGGAUCGCAAGACCUCGCGCGAUUGGAGCGGCCGAUAUCAGAUUAGGUAGUUGGUGAGGUAAAGGCUCGCCAAGCCGACGAUCUGUAGCUGGUCUGAGAGGACGACCAGCCACACUGGGACUGAGACACGGCCCAGACUCCUACGGGAGGCAGCAGUGGGGGAAUUUUUGGACAAUGGGCGCAAGCCUGAUCCAGCAAUGCCGCGUGCAGGAUGAAGGCCU